This 21-nucleotide non-coding RNA is filed under the name Arabidopsis thaliana (thale cress). The record is from RNAcentral. Lineage: Eukaryota; Viridiplantae; Streptophyta; Magnoliopsida; Brassicales; Brassicaceae.
UCCAAAGUGCCACCAGUUGUG